Esox lucius (northern pike) is the source of this 3945-nucleotide long non-coding RNA. NCBI's taxonomy places the organism in Eukaryota, Metazoa, Chordata, Actinopteri, Esociformes, Esocidae. The record is from Ensembl.
CCAGCACGACCGCAAACAUCUCAACAGGUUAUUUCCUGCAUAUGCCACUCUGCUCUUUCAUCACUGUCCUGCAAUAUCUGUCUUCCGUCUCUUCUUUACAGACGAGCAAAAGAACAGGAAAAAACAUGCAGUUUGAUUUUAGCAGAUCAACUGAACUCUUAUACCAGCUACUGUACGUUUAAUGUCAUGAUGAGAUGACAUGAAGGCUAGUGGCCAAUACUAGAAUCCAUAAUUAUUCUAUUUUGUUGUCAGGGUAAAAAAAACAACUCUUCACUGUUUUUUUUAUGUUACAAAAAUGUGUAUUUAAUGUUUGGAUUGUUUUCUUUUAUUCAUUUCUCAAGCUGUGAUUUAUGGCAUGAAACAGCCCAGUGUUUAGCAAAUUCUGUGUCAGUGCAUUUUCUUGUACUGAACAAUUUACAAUAAAGUGACUAUUAUUACUUCAGGAAUCUCCUUCAGGCAUAGACUAAACAAACAUGUCCAAGACCAUCUGUUUUAGAACAUAUACUUGGUACAAAAUAUCAGUGGACACCAUGAUGAAUGCAAAGCAAUCUAUGAAUUUAACAUUUCUCAAAUUGAGUUAAAUAGAUGCUGUGAAUUGUAAACUGUAAAUAGUUGGAAACAACAUGACUUAACAUAUACAGCGGUAGCUACAAGUAGUAAUCCUGCUCUCUCACUCUCUCCCUCUUUGUCCAGUGAAAAUAAUCCAUUCCAGUUCAUAUUUUUCUGAAGUUUAGUAACUUUUUGGCACAAUCAUUGUGAAACAAAAACACAGUUGUAAUGGCACCAAAUUAUGUUACACAUUGAGAGGUGCAAGACGUCACAUCACAGACGAACCAACUGGGCCAAACAGAAUUCAUGUGAUCCACCAUAUUAUUAGUAGACUGGCAGACUGUCCAUGUAGACUGCCCUGAGAUGAACACAGACUGAAAUUCCAUUCAUAUCCUCCUUUGCUUCAGCACAUCUCAGCCUUAAAGAUAAUCCAUUCAUUUAAAUAAUUCACUUUCUGUACUUAUGUCUGUACUGCCAGCCCAACUAGACAGUCAAUUAGCCAAUCAAUCAGCGAGUCAGCCAGCCAAUCAGCCAGCAGCCAGUCAACCAGCCAGCAGCUAACCAGUCAUUCCACCAGUCAUUCCGCCAAUCAGCCAACAGCCAAUCAGCCAGCCAAUCAGCCAGCAGCCAACCAGCUGUUCAGCCAAUCAGCCAGCAGCCAACCAGCCAUUCAGCUAACCAGCCAGCAGCCAACCAGCUAUUCAGCCAACUGCAGCCAAACAGCUAUUCGGCCAGUCAUCCAGCCAGCCAGCUAAUCAGCCAGUCAACCUGACAGUCUCCUGAAAAACCCAGUGACAGCUGUCAGUCAGGACAAACCCCAUAGUCACACUGAGGACUCAGUGACAGCUGUCAGUCAGGACCAACCCCAUAGUCACACUGAGGACUCAGUGUUGUGGAACAUCUUGUCCUUCAGUGUCCUCAGGCUGCAUUGGAGGUUGGAGCUGGUCUCACUCUUCAGCCCCUCUGAGAAAUUGACGUCAUACGCCCGGCUGCCCACUGACUUCCUCUUGAUUGAGUUCUGGAUGGUCUCUGAGGUGAAGUAGUAGAUGAUUGGGUCAAAGCAGCAGUUGGACACGGCGAUGCAGAGGGCGAUGGGGUAGAUGGUUCGGACCACGGACUCCACGGAGCAGCCCCUCAGCGUCCCGGUACGCACCAGAGCGUAGAACACCAGGUUGACAUUGUAGGGGAUGAAACAGAAGCAGAAGAUGAACAGGUGUACCACAAUCAUGCGAAGGAUCUUGGUUUUGUUCAGCUUCCCCCCGCGGUUGAUGGCGUUGGGCCUCCUCAGGGUCUGAAGGACCAUGACAGAGCAUACCACAUUGAGGAGCAGGGGAAUCAGGAACCCCACCGUCUCAAUGAAAAUCACCACCUUGGAAAGGUGGGACUUCCACUGGUUCGAGGAGAAGUUCUCAAAGCAGAAUCGCGAGGCAGACAGGUUGUUUUUGCGAGACGUGGUUUCCAGUUUGAAUCCCGUCGGCAGACUUCCCGCCAACACCAGCACCCAGACCGCCACACACACUAUCUUGGCGUUCCUCUUGGUUCUUAGCGCCUGUGACCGGAACGGAUGGACUAUGGCCAAAAAACGAUCCACACUAAUGCAGGUGAGGAACAGCAUACUGCCAUACAUGUUGGUGUAGAACAGCGAGACAGAGAGCUUGCAGAACAUGCUGCCGAACGGCCAGUCCUGGUUGAUGAAGUAGAAGACCCUGAGAGGCAGCGUGAAGACGAACAGAAGGUCCGACACCACCAGGUUCAUCAUGUAGGUGGUGGUCUCGUUCCUCAGCUUCAGGGAACAGGUGAAUAUGUACAUGGCCGCCACGUUGGUGAUCAGACCCACCACGAACACCAGGCUGAACACUGUGCUGUACAAGGGGUACUUGAACCCGUCACUCUUGGUGCAGUUGGAGCUGUACGACUGGGAGGAGUUGUCGUGCGGCAGCAGGUUGGUCGGGGCGCUGGUUCGCAUCGUGGUGAAGUCGGACGCAGACAGCAGAGGGAACAGGCUGGUGUUGUGCAUUUUAGACUGAAGGAAACCAGGAGCAGUUGUGGGGGAUCAUUCGGUUAUGUAAGAGCUAUACAAUGAAAGGAUUUUGCUCAACAACUCUUGGCCCAAUCAAGCGUGGACGUCGGACACAAAGGCGGAACUCAGAAUGCAAGGCCGGAUGCCUGGUAACACUGCAGAGGCUGUCCCUCCGUAAUCUAUGACAGGGAUUUAGAGAAGCACUGAAACACAAAGGUUUUCAUUCAAAACAUCCCACGUUCAUAGAGUGGAGAGCAGUGGUUGCAGCACAUGAUCACAGAGUUUCCGUCCCCAUGUUGUGAGAGGGGCUGUCGGUGGUUCUUUGGGAUUAGCUCAUAGUUAAACGAUCCCUCCGUGCCCAAAGACGGACUGCCGACCACGGAGAGCCGCUUGCCCCUGCUCCUCCCCCCGUUGGAGCUGCUUCUCGCCUCCGCCUGAAGGGCUUUCUGACGGAGCGAGGGAGGUGUACUUACUCCGACUGUCACACAACGUUCCCUCUGGUUGACUCAACCCGGAAUGAUCCAGUCCAAGUCCUCACAGGAAAAAGGCUUUAAUAUUGAAAUAAUCCAUACGUGGUGAUUUCUUUCUUUAAUUGUGCAACUUGGUUUUUUUUUGUUAAAAAAGUUAUUAAAGAUUAUAGAUGCUCCUCAGUCUUGUUUUUCCUCUGAUAAAUGAUCCAGGUUCUCUGUCGCAGCCCUCUUGUGUAGAUUUGUAGAGGCAGUUGAUGGUGUUGCUGUGCCAGUGUCACAGUAGAGGUUCUAAAGUCCAACAACGUGUUGCUUUGUCUUGAAUGGAGAGCAGAGUGGAGGCACAGACAGAGCUCAGCCCUCAACAGUCCUUCGUGUUUAAGUGAGUGAGAAUGUGUGAGUUUCUGUUUCUAUUUCAGAUUUGUUUCCUGUUCACUCCCGCCCCUCUGACUGUCUUCAACUGCCUCACGGACAACUUCCCCUCAGGGAAACAGGGAUUGUGAGCUCUCUAUUGGCCUCGGCUUGGCAGUCUGGAACAUCUCAAGUCUCCAUUGUCAUGGAUGAGCUCAGAUGGAGGGGAGAGGAAUUAAGGGAAGAUAAAUAAUUGGCCUCAGAGGUCUUUAGCCUUCUCCAAACCUUAUAUAAGCUGGCAUUUCACUACAGGUUUGAAAGUCCAAGAAAAGCUAUAAAAAUAUAUGGUAGGUUUAUAUGUAAGACAAAAUGUUAAUGUCAACACAGUGAGGGAUUCCACAGUAUUAGUAUGUGUCAGAGUGAUUGUGUUAUUUUCCUUUAUUGAGAUGGUUUCUGUACAGUGCAAGAACUAUGACUUUAGUUUGACUGUUGUUUAAGGUUUUCUUGUAUGUGGAUGUAUUAUUUAACCAAAGCUUCUUCAGUUGUGAAUUAACAAAC